CAUAAUCGGUGCACUGUGCUGACGAGUCCCGAAAAGGGCGAAACAGCUGUCCACAGUUGCCGUUGUUUGCCUUU
This 74-nucleotide small RNA is filed under the name Paramuricea clavata. Lineage: Eukaryota; Metazoa; Cnidaria; Anthozoa; Malacalcyonacea; Plexauridae. The record is from RNAcentral.